RNAcentral lists this ribosomal RNA (253 nucleotides) under uncultured bacterium. RNAcentral describes it as "partial 16S ribosomal RNA". It matches the Rfam family "Bacterial small subunit ribosomal RNA", at positions 524 to 776 of the family's 1533-position model. The record is from RNAcentral.
UACGGGGGGGGUAAGCGUUGUUCGGAAUUACUGGGCGUAAAGGGCUCGUAGGCGGCCAACUAAGUCAGACGUGAAAUCCCUCAGCUUAACUGGGGAACUGCGUCUGAUACUGGAUGGCUUGGAUUCGGGAGAGGAAUGCGGAAUUCCAGGUGUAGCGGUGAAAUGCGUAGAUACCUGGAGGAACACCGGUGGCGAAGGCGGCAUUCUGGACCGACAUUGACGCUGAGGAGCGAAAGCCAGGGGAGCAAACGGG